This 1273-nucleotide long non-coding RNA is filed under the name Anolis carolinensis (green anole). RNAcentral's name for it is "lncRNA (ENSACAG00000040767.1)". The record is from RNAcentral. Lineage: Eukaryota; Metazoa; Chordata; Lepidosauria; Squamata; Anolidae.
GGCAGCAUAACCGAGAAGGAAAUUAUUUGUGUCUAAAGGGUUGCAGGUCAGAAAUGGUUAAUUAUCUCUCUCUUUCCAAUUGAUAGGAGGAAAGGAUGGAGCGUUUUGGAGGAUCAUAGAAAUGGAAGGAACUCCAAGGCAUUUAGCCUAAUUUCUGCCCUGUCAGAAUACAACACCAACUUACCACCCAGAAGAGGCCAUUUAAACUCUGUUUAAAAGUCUACAGUGAAUGAGAGUCAAUUACCUUAAAAGCUGGUCUCUUAUUUUCCAGCUUUUGCUUUAGAAGACCAAGUGGAUGAACAGUUCUAUAUGUGUUGUAUAAUUCACGGAUCAAACAGUGACCAUAUGUUCAGGAAGAAGAACCACAGCUAAUUCAAUUUCUCUUUCCCACCUGUCCACUUGCUCCUCCUUCCCCACAAAACAGCUGACUGGUGUCCUCUUAGCUUUUAACGAAAGUGUUUCCUGAAUGCCAUCAUCUCCUCCUCUUCAUUUGAACUAGUUAAGGAUGUGAAUAACACUGUAGAAAAGGCUUGUCCAAGAGAGAACCGUGAGUUUCUCCCUCUGCUAUGAUAUCCACCCCCUAGUCUACAAACCACGCUGCAAAUAGUAGUUUUGCUUGCCCAUGAAAAAGACCUGGGAAAGGUUACAAAAUUGUUCUUGGCUUUGUUAAAAGUGCUUAUGCCUGGAUAACAACAGAAGUGUGGCUUUUGACCUCAAAGGCAAUCUGUCCAGAACUUGUCCAUGUCUCCAGGCUAAGUUCACUUGGAAUAGUUUCAUAGACACCAAAAAUCACAGGGGAACAAAAUCUCAGAAAAGUCCAUUACGAAUAAACUGACUUUGAAACACAAAGAGGUAGCAGUGUGUUUUCUUCAGGGAAAAGCUGAACAAAUUUUGCCAAAAAACAAAAACAAAACCCUGUGAUUGUCACUAUAGGCUGGAAAUGAUUCAAAGGCAAACAAUAACAAAAUACAAGUGGACAUCUUCUGACAUUUUUCCAUCUGGCAAGAAUGAGGUCACUAAAUGAUUUCCUGCUUACUAAAUAAGAAAAUGUCUUGAGAGGAUAUACAAGUGGAGCUGGCAAAGACAGCUGAUUGUAGGAGUGAAGCAAAGGUAGGCUACGUCUUUGAUGCCAUGGAGGAAGAUGAGAGUCCCUGACUUAGGUGAUAACUAGUGCAGUAAAAGGAAACUAUGGCCUCCAAAGAUUGGUAAUGGGCCACAAUUUCUCUAUCUGUUAUCUGUGACUAGAGCAGUAGUUCUCAACCUGGGGUCCCCA